RNAcentral lists this ribosomal RNA (496 nucleotides) under uncultured bacterium. Its description in RNAcentral is "partial 16S ribosomal RNA". It matches the Rfam family "Bacterial small subunit ribosomal RNA", at positions 28 to 506 of the family's 1533-position model. The record is from RNAcentral.
GAUGAACGCUGGCGGCGUGCCUAAUACAUGCAAGUCGAGCGAACAGACGAGGAGCUUGCUCCUCUGACGUUAGCGGCGGACGGGUGAGUAACACGUGGAUAACCUACCUAUAAGACUGGGAUAACUUCGGGAAACCGGAGCUAAUACCGGAUAAUAUAUUGAACCGCAUGGUUCAAUAGUGAAAGACGGUUUUGCUGUCACUUAUAGAUGGAUCCGCGCCGCAUUAGCUAGUUGGUAAGGUAACGGCUUACCAAGGCAACGAUGCGUAGCCGACCUGAGAGGUGGGUGGGCCAACCGGGACUCGGAACCGGUUCCGACUCCCAAGGGGAGCAGCAAGGGGGGAUUCUGCCCAAAUGGGCGAAACCCUGACGGAGCAACGCCGGGGGGGGGAUAAGGGUUUGCGGUUCGUAAAACUUUUUUUUGGGGGAAAAAAAAAGGGUAAGGUAACAUUCCCCUUCUGGACGGGACCUAAUCAAAAAGCCCGGGCAAACUACGG